RNAcentral lists this ribosomal RNA (496 nucleotides) under uncultured bacterium. RNAcentral describes it as "bacterial SSU rRNA". It matches the Rfam family "Bacterial small subunit ribosomal RNA", at positions 28 to 531 of the family's 1533-position model. The record is from RNAcentral.
GACGAACGCUGGCGGCGUGCCUAACACAUGCAAGUCGAGCGGGGUUACGGAGUAGCUUGCUACGAAGUAACCUAGCGGCGGACGGGUGAGUAACGCGUGAGCAAUCUGCCUCGUACAGGGGGAUAACAGGUGGAAACAUCUGCUAAUACCGCAUAAGACCACAGGGUCGCAUGAUCCAGGGGUCAAAGGAGGAAUCCGGUACGAGAUGAGCUCGCGUCCCAUUAGCUAGUUGGUGAGGUAAAGGCUCACCAAGGCGACGAUGGGUAGCCGACCUGAGAGGGUGAUCGGCCACACUGGGACUGAGACACGGCCCAGACUCCUACGGGAGGCAGCAGUUGGGAAUCUUAGGCAAUGGACGAAAGUCUGACCUAGCGACGCCGCGUGAGGGAAGAAGGCCUUGGUUGUAAACUCUGUCAUGGGGAAGAAGGAAGUGACGGUACCCCAAGAGGAAGCCCCUGCUAACUACGUGCCAGCAGCCGCGGUAAGAUAGCGUACU